GCUGAAGUAGGUCCCAAGGGUAUGGCUGUUCGCCAUUUAAAGUGGUACGCGAGCUGGGUUUAGAACGUCGUGAGACAGUUCGGUCCCUAUCUGCCGUGGGCGCUGGAGAAUUGAGGGGGGCUGCUCCUAGUACGAGAGGACCGGAGUGGACGCAUCACUGGUGUUCGGGUUGUCAUGCCAAUGGCACUGCCCGGUAGCUAAAUGCGGAAGAGAUAAGUGCUGAAAGCAUCUAAGCACGAAACUUGCCCCGAGAUGAGUUCUCCCUGACUCCUUGAGAGUCCUGAAGGAACGUUGAAGACGACGACGUUGAUAGGCCGGGUGUGUAAGCGCAGCGAUGCGUUGAGCUAACCGGUACUAAUGAACCGUGAGGCUUAACCUUACAACGCCGAAG
This 391-nucleotide ribosomal RNA is filed under the name Escherichia coli. RNAcentral describes it as "partial 23S ribosomal RNA". It matches the Rfam family "Bacterial large subunit ribosomal RNA", at positions 2552 to 2925 of the family's 2925-position model. The record is from RNAcentral. Lineage: Bacteria; Pseudomonadati; Pseudomonadota; Gammaproteobacteria; Enterobacterales; Enterobacteriaceae.